Molecule: ribosomal RNA, 497 nt
Filed under: uncultured bacterium
Lineage: Bacteria
Description: partial 16S ribosomal RNA
Rfam family: Bacterial small subunit ribosomal RNA
Source: RNAcentral
GAUGAACGCUGGCGGCGUGCCUAAUACAUGCAAGUCGAGCGGACAGAUAAGGAGCUUGCUCCUUUGACGUUAGCGGCGGACGGGUGAGUAACACGUGGAUAACCUACCUAUAAGACUGGGAUAACUUCGGGAAACCGGAGCUAAUACCGGAUAACAUAUUGAACCGCAUGGUUCAAUAGUGAAAGGCGGCUUUGCUGUCACUUAUAGAUGGAUCCGCGCCGUAUUAGCUAGUUGGUAAGGUAACGGCUUACCAAGGCAACGAUACGUAGCCGACCUGAGAGGGUGAUCGGCCACACUGGAACUGGGACACGGUCCAGACUCCUACGGGAGGCAGCAGUAGGGAAUCUUCCGCAAUGGGCGAAAGCCUGACGGAGCAGCGCCGCGUGAGUGAUGAAGGUCUUCGGAUCGUAAAACUCUGUUAUCAGGGAAGAACAAAUGUGUAAGUAACUGUGCACAUCUUGACGGUACCUGAUCAGAAAGCCACGGCUAACUACGUG